UACGUAGGUGGCAAGCGUUGUCCGGAUUUACUGGGCGGAAAGAGCGCGCAGGCGGUCGUGCAAGUCGCGUGUGAAAGCCCCCGGCUCAACUGGGGAGGGUCACGCGAUACUGCUCGACUCGAAGGCAGGAGAGGGAAGUGGAAUUCCCGGUGUAGUGGUGAAAUGCGUAGAUAUCGGGAGGAACACCAGUGGCGAAGGCGACUUCCUGGACUGUUCUUGACGCUGAGGCGCGAAAGCUAGGGUAGCAAACGGG
This 253-nucleotide ribosomal RNA is filed under the name uncultured bacterium. RNAcentral's name for it is "partial 16S ribosomal RNA". It matches the Rfam family "Bacterial small subunit ribosomal RNA", at positions 524 to 776 of the family's 1533-position model. The record is from RNAcentral.